RNAcentral lists this ribosomal RNA (1958 nucleotides) under human gut metagenome. RNAcentral describes it as "bacterial LSU rRNA". It matches the Rfam family "Bacterial large subunit ribosomal RNA", at positions 3 to 1991 of the family's 2925-position model. The record is from RNAcentral.
UCAAGCUAAUAAGAGCAUAAGGUGAAUGCCUUGGCAUCAAGAACCGAUGAAGGACGUAAAAAGCUGCGAUAAGCUUCGGGGAGGCGCACAUAGCCAACGAUCCGGAGAUUUCCGAAUGGGGAAACCUAGCUGAGAAAAGCUCAGUUGGCGUACAGUGAAUCAAUAGCUGUGCGUAGGGAACGCUCUGAACUGAAACAUCUAAGUAGGAGCAGGAAGAGAAAGAAACAUCGAUUUCCUAAGUAGUGGCGAACGAACGGGAAACAGGCCAAACCGAGAUACAUGUAUUUCGGGGUUGUGGACUACAUCACGUGAUGGAGGUAAGGUAGUAGAAUUGUUUUGGGAAAGCAAGCCAAAGAAAGUGAAAGCCUUGUAUACGAAACCUGAAGACCCACAGUAGUAUCCAGAGUACAUCGGGACACGUGAAACCCUGAUGGAAGCCGGAGGGACCACCCUCCAAGCCUAAAUAUUCCUUGAUGACCGAUAGCGAAGAAGUACUGUGAAGGAAAGGUGAAAAGAACCCCGGGAGGGGAGUGAAAGAGAACCUGAAACCUUAUGUUUACAAACAGUCGAAGUUUUUCGGAACGACGGCGUACUUUUUGUAGAACGGUCCGGCGAGUUGCAGUGACAUGCGAGGUUAAGGAGUACAGCUCCGGAGCCGAAGGGAAACCAAGUCUUAACUGGGCGUCUAGUAUGUUAAUGCAGACCCGAAACCGGGUGACCUAUCCAUGGGCAGGUUGAAGUUACCGUAAAAGGUAAUGGAGGACCGAACUCACAUCUGUUGAAAAAGGUGGAGAUGACCUGUGGAUAGCGGAGAAAUUCCAAUCGAACUCGGAGAUAGCUGGUUCUCCUCGAAAUAGCUUUAGGGCUAGCCUUGAGGUAAAGUCUAAUGGAGGUAAAGCACUGAUUGGACGCGGGUCCCCAAAAGGAUACCAACUUCUAUCAAACUCAGAAUGCCAUAUAGAUAUACUCAGGAGUCAGACUAUGUGAGAUAAGUUUCAUAGUCAAAAGGGAAAGAGCCCAGACCGACAGCUAAGGUCCCAAAGUGUGUGUUAAGUGGAAAAGGAUGUUAGGUUUCUAAGACAACUAGGAUGUUGGCUCAGAAGCAGCCACUCAUUUAAAGAGUGCGUAACAGCUCACUAGUCGAGAGGUCUAGCGCCGAAAAUGUCCGGGGCUAAAACACACCACCGAAGCUACGGAAUUACCUAUGGUAAUUGGUAGAGGAGCAUUCUGUAAGGACGAAGCACAAUUGAAAGAGAGUGUGGACGAAACAGAAGAGAGAAUGCCGGAAUGAGUAGCGAGAUAUAUGUGAGAAUCAUAUAGGUCGAAUGUCUAAGGUUUCCUGGGUAAAGCUGAUCUGCUCAGGGUAAGUCGGGACCUAAGGUGAGGGCGAGAGCCGUAAUCGAUGGACAACAGGUAGAAAUUCCUGUACUACGUAUAAUCAGAACUGUGGGGACGCAGGAGGAUAGGAAAACCGGAGAAUGGAAAUAUCCGGCUAAGUACAAAGGUGUGAGCAAUAGGCAAAUCCGUUGCUAUAAGCUGAAGUACGAAUGGGAGCGAAGAAAAGUAGCGAAGUUUCUGAAUCCACACUGUCAAGAAAAGCCGCUAUUGCGUUAUACGUACCCGUACCGCAAACCGACACAGGUAGACGAGGAGAAAAUCCACAGACCGACGGGAGAAGUGUUGUUAAGGAACUCGGCAAAAUGACCCCGUAACUUAGGGAUAAGGGGAGCCAACGCAAGUUGGUCACAGAAAAGAGGCUCAAGCGACUGUUUAGCAAAAACAUAGGUCUAUGCGAAACCGUAAGGUGAUGUAUAUGGGCUGACACCUGCCCGGUGCUGGAAGGUCAAAAGGAGAGGUUAGCGUAAGCGAAGCUUUGAAUUCAAGCCCCAGUAAACGGCGGCCGUAACUAUAACGGUCCUAAGGUAGCGAAAUUCCUUGUCAGGUAAGUUCUGACCCGC